GGUUGCAGUGAGCCAAGAUCACACCACUGCACUCCAGCCUGGGCAAUAGAGUGAGACUCAGAAAAAAAAAAAAAAGUUGAAAUCACAAAAUACAGAGACUUAGUAGUGGGCUGAAGGCACAAUGACACAGACACAGAGUGCAGAGAUGGAGCCACGUGAUUCUUCCCCACAGCCGUGCAAAAUGGGAUAGGGGUGGAAAAAGCAUGAAAUGGAAACAGUCAACAGUAAAACUUUGCACCAGCUAAAGAAAGAUGUGACUUCACAGUGAAAAGGUGUGGAGGGCCAGAGCAAGUCACACGCAGUUCCACGACUCACUAGCAGACGUUUAAGCCAAUAACAACAAAAACUCAUAUGGAUAAAAUGGUCUCAUAUGCAUAAAAUGGUCACACUUUCCUGAGAGAAAGGAAAGAUCUGAAUCAAGAAACACGUUGUGUUCCAGAGGGAAGGGUUUGGUACUGGAAAGAUGCUACUUCUCCCUACGCGAAGGCAUUCCAUACCGAACAGCAAAAUCUCACCAGGCAUUGCUCAUGGAAAUUGACAAGGUGGACAGGAAAUACUCAAGAACAGUCCCAGGUAAGGAAAAGGGAUUGGCCUCUGGAUGCAGGUCUGAUGAUGGAGCUUCCCGCCUGCAAGCAGCAGAGUGUCUGCAGAUCAGGAGAACGGAAGACAGGGUCUCCAAGCAGGUGGGAACCUGGGACAUGACAGUGAUUUCAAAUGGGGGAAGGAUUUGCCUCUUCAGAGAUAGACUCAGAGCUACUGGCUGUUGUUUUGAAGGAUGAAAAAAGCAACUUGUAUUUUUUUUUGAAGGAAAAUUUGUAUUAUUUUAAUUAUUUUUAUGUACGGAAAACUCAACAGUGUACAUAUAACCCAGUUUAGUGGCAAGUUCUUUAGCCUUUGCCUUUUUGCGUUUGGCAAUGUGAGCCACAGACUUGGGACCCAGGACAUUGCUGCCCCGGUGACGGCGGAUCUCAUCAUAUCUGUCAUUAUAAUCGGUCCUGAUAGCUGCUACCAGCUUAGCCAAAGCACCUUUGUCUUCCGAGUUCACCUGUGUGAAGGCGACAGUCGUACAGAUCUCCCUGUGGACUAGACGGCCCAGUCUUGCCUUCCCCUUGAUAAUGCAGUAAGGGACUCCCAUUUUACGACACAAGGCAGGCAGGAAGACAACUGGCUCAAUGGGCUCCACGUCGUGUGCAAUCAGCACCAGCUGAGCUUUCUUGUUCUCCACCGAGGUGGUGACACUGUUAACUCCUGCUCAAAGGACAGGUGGUCUCUUAGUGGGGACGUCCCCUUUGCUGGUAGCUUUCUUCUCGGCCCGGGCCAACAGCCUCUGCUUCUUCUCUUGCUUUGUCUCUGGUCUGUACUUGUGGGCCAGCCUAAGCAGCUGAGGAGCUAUUUGGUGGUCCGGGGCCUGGGUGAACUGGUUAAUGGCAGGAGGCACUUUCAGCUGCUUAUAGAGGAUGGCUCUCUGCCACUGCAACCUGAUAUAACGGGGCCAUUUCACAAAGCAGGUGAGGUCCCUUUUGGGCUGGAUGUCCUGUCCAAUACCAAAAUCCUUAGGCCUUUUCUCAAACGGGAUUCACCACUUUCUUGGCCUCCUGCUUCUUCACGACAGCAGGGGCUGGAGCCACCUUCUUCCCCUUAGCCUUCUUUCCUUUCAGCAUCUUGGGCAGUGGGAGGAGAGAGUGCAACUUGGAUUUCUAAAUUGUGCCACACAUAAAAAUAAAUCCCAGGCCAAUUCAAUAUUCAAACAGAAAAUAUAAGAGGCAGCCGGGCACAGUGGCUCAUGCCUGUAAUCUCAGCACUUUGGGAGGCCAAGGCAGGCGGAUCACGAGGUCAGGAGUUCAGGACCAGCCUGGCCAACAUGGUGAAACCCAUCUCUACUAAAAAUACAAAAAUUAGCCAGGCAUGGUGGCGGGCACCUGUAAUCCCAGCUACUCGGAGGCUAAGGCAGGAGAAUCGCUUGAACCCGGGAGGGGGAGGUUGCAGUGAGUGGAGACCACACCAUUGCUUUGGAGAGAAGUAGGAGAGAAGGCUUUAUAAUGUUGGGAUAGGAAAGGGCUUCAUAAGCAAGACCUUGAAUUUCAAGAGGAAUCUAUUCCUUUGUCCCCCUUAGAAAAUCAGAUUUUGACUGGUGCAGAAACCAAAUGAACCCACCAAGAUGAAUUAUCUGAAGAAGACUUCUCCAAGCCGCAGAAUUAACCAGGCCAGGUUAUAUAGUUAUUC
RNAcentral lists this long non-coding RNA (2223 nucleotides) under Homo sapiens (human). RNAcentral describes it as "HSALNT0234924". The record is from RNAcentral. Lineage: Eukaryota; Metazoa; Chordata; Mammalia; Primates; Hominidae.